RNAcentral lists this unclassified non-coding RNA (929 nucleotides) under Hevea brasiliensis (rubber tree). Lineage: Eukaryota; Viridiplantae; Streptophyta; Magnoliopsida; Malpighiales; Euphorbiaceae. The record is from RNAcentral.
GUAAAUUAUCAUGUCAAUUUCACUUUUCUAUUUUAUGAAAAGGAAAAGGAUUUACAAAUUAAUUAAUAACAACAUGUAGCCAACCUCAAUAGCAAUCACUCUGUUUAUUUGAUCACUAAAUACUUGUAAAUUACUUAAAAAGAAGGGGAAAACAAAACCAAAAAUAUAGGAGUAGAUGAAAGAUACCUAGGAACAGAGAUUUGACAUUGAACAAGAUGUUCACACAAAUGAUUUCACAGUUAUAUUACCAUUAAAAACAAAUAACAGAACACUGAACACAUCAAGUUUCCACUUGGAAUCGAAAUCAAUUAUUAACACCGUAGGGAAAAUAACUAAUAUCUAAUUAAGCAUUACCAACCAGCAUAUCUUAGCCAGAUCCAUGUCCAACAAUGGACAAGAAUGCAGUCUUCAUAUUCUCCAUAAAUAGCAACCUCCAAACACAUUCAAACCUUUACCUCUACCACCAUAGCGCAAUGUUGAUGUAGGCGAUUUAAUGUUGCGCUUGUUAUCUUUAUCAUUAUCAUCAUCACCAUCGUCACCAUCGUCUUGUUCGUCACCAUUGAUUGUAUAAUGAAUUGGAGAUCUUGAACAUGAAAAAAAUGAACGGUUUCGAAAUUUCGAGUUCUUGAAGGUUGAUGAGGAUGAAUAAUAGAAUGACGACAACGAUGAUGAAGAAGAUGAUGUUGUAGUAGAAGACAUGGAAGAUGAAGGUGAGACAUGAGUCUUCUUUUUACCAUGGAAGAUGGUGCUCAUGAUGCUUUGUUUUAAUGAUCUUUUGUACAUGGAUUUUGAUUUAAGAGUGGAAUAAUAUGAAGGAGGGGGUGUCAAAGGAGGAUUAAUAGAAGUAUUACCAAGAGUGUGCUUAGGAGUACCUGGUCUUGUCUCCCACAUGAAUGGAAUUGCACCUGAAGUUCCUCCAUAGUAAACCC